GGUUUUUCAAGAACUUUAUAAUUCAGAAUUUUCUCUCGCUUUGAAAUAGAUUGAAGAGAAACAAAGAGAAUUACAGAAUUACAACGACAGAAAAGAAGAAGCGUCAAAAGCAUUUAUUUUUGAUUCACAUAUAUAUUGGUUUCUGUGUUAUCUUGUUUUGUAUUGGUUUACUUCUUUAUAUUGUUGCGCAUGCUGCGUUGGCGGCUCGCUUAUUUUGGCUAGGAUGAAGUUUUGUCUCGGUUCCCGCACCGCCAUCAUUACGAGUUUUGAGCUCCAUCCUUGCUCCUCUCAAAGGCAUUGCACUGUUUG
Styela clava is the source of this 309-nucleotide non-coding RNA. NCBI's taxonomy places the organism in Eukaryota, Metazoa, Chordata, Ascidiacea, Stolidobranchia, Styelidae. The record is from RefSeq and is a predicted model, not a curated record.